This 253-nucleotide ribosomal RNA is filed under the name uncultured bacterium. Its description in RNAcentral is "partial 16S ribosomal RNA". It matches the Rfam family "Bacterial small subunit ribosomal RNA", at positions 524 to 776 of the family's 1533-position model. The record is from RNAcentral.
UACGUAGGGUCCGAGCGUUGUCCGGAAUUAUUGGGCGUAAAGGUCUCGUAGGCGGUUUGUCGCGUCGGGAGUGAAAACACGGGGCUUAACCCCGUGCCUGCUUCCGAUACGGGCAGACUAGAGGUAUGCAGGGGAGAACGGAAUUCCUGGUGUAGCGGUGAAAUGCGCAGAUAUCAGGAGGAACACCGGUGGCGAAGGCGGUUCUCUGGGCAUUACCUGACGCUGAGGAGCGAAAGUGUGGGGAGCGAACAGG